RNAcentral lists this unclassified non-coding RNA (2002 nucleotides) under uncultured fungus. RNAcentral describes it as "sequence contains 18S rRNA gene, ITS1, 5.8S rRNA gene, ITS2, 28S rRNA gene". The stretch from base 779 to 2002 matches the Rfam family "Eukaryotic large subunit ribosomal RNA", at positions 1 to 961 of the family's 3401-position model. The record is from RNAcentral. Lineage: Eukaryota; Fungi.
GGAGGGAUCAUCAAAGAAAUAAAAAAACACGCAAGUGUUUUUUAUAUAUAAACAAACGAUCGCAACUAUUAUAAAGUGAUAAGAAGAGAAGCGCUUGCCUGAUAAAAAACAUUGGAAACAGAGAAAAAUAUAUACAACUUUCAACAACGGAUCUCUUGGCUCUCACAUCGAUGAAGAACAUAGCAAAGUGUGAAAAUUAAUGUGAAUUGCAGAAUUCAGUGAAUCAUUGAGUUUUUGAACGCAUCUUGCACUCUUUGGUAUUCCAGAGAGUAUGCCUGGUUGAGUAAUGUGAACAUAUAUAUCAGUCUAUAGAUUUUCUUUGGAAACAAGGAAAGGAAAGAUUGGAAUUGAGUGGGAUUACCUUGUUUCUCUCGUAAAGAGAAGAGACAGGGUUCACUUGAAAUGAAGGGAAUGUGAUGGCAAAAAGAGAGGGCUUGUGGUUGGUCAAGAGGAGAAAGGCAAUAAAACUCUUGUUGGUUCUUCUCUCUCUCAAUCUUUGGGAGAGAAAUUAACAAGAGGGGGAAACGUGUCUAGCUUGAUAAUAACAAUGACUUGAUGAGGUGAAAAAGGGGGGGGUUUGUGUUCAUAAAAAAGUCUUGUUUAGAGCUUUUCUGCUUCCACUUUGUCAGAACUCUGACCCGAUUUUUUUUACAAGGAGAAAUCUUCUUCCCUGUAUAAAAAACGCAGCGCUUUUGGUUGCAGCAAAAAGUCACAUCCACAACUAGGAAACAGAGAGAGAGAAAAGGGGAUUUUCCCCGUUUCUUCUCUAUCUAAUCAUCAUUCUCAACUCAGGCAAGACUACCCGCUGAAUUUAAGCAUAUAAAUAAGCGGAGGAAAAGAAACUAACUAGGAUUCCCUUAGUAACUGCGAGUGAAGCGGGAAAAGCUCAAAUUUGAAAUCUACCAAGAGUAACCUUCUUGGUCGAAUUGUAGUUUCAAGAAAGAAAGACUGAGAGAAGUCGGAUUGGAUGCAAGUUCCUUGGAAUGCGACAUCAGAGAGGGUGACAAUCCCGUCUACCGUCCUUCCGUCAUAUUGCUUCUCACCAAAGGUCAUCUUUUCAAAGAGUCGAGUUGUUUGGGAUUGCAGCUCAAAAUGGGUGGUAAAUUUCAUCUAAAGCUAAAUAUGGGUGAGAGACCGAUAGCGAACAAGUACCGUGAGGGAAAGAUGAAAAGCACUCUGAAGAGAGAGUGAAAAGUACGUGAAAUUGUUGAAAGGGAAACGCUUGAAACCAGUCAAGGUUUGCUAGAUUUCAGGGGAGUUUCAUGUGUUGGGCGGGGCUGGUGUGGAGAUUUGUUCUCUAUAUGGGAAUGAACUCUUGCGCUGGCUUUUUUUGCUUGGCCAUGCUCUCUGUACGUUUCUAGUAAACAAGUCAGCAUCAGUUUGAUUAUUAUUGUGCUUGGGAAAAGGACAUGUAGGAUUUGGUCGGGCUUUUGUUAGGGGGUUUUCCCUCUUGCAAGGUCUGGAGCCUGUUUGUCAUAUACCAAGCGUCGGACUGAGGAAUGCAUUACAAGGCAUUGACCUGGAAUAGGCCAUCUUAGGGUGCUGGUCUUGAUAAACAGCUUGCUGAUUGUUAAGAACGGGGCCCGAGACUUGUCAAAUCCAGGCAGGCUUUUGAUUUUGGAUGUUGACGAAAUGGUUUUAAACGACCCGUCUUGAAACACGGACCAAGGAGUCUAACAUGGAUGCAAGUAUUUGGGUGAUAGGAAACCCAGAUGCGCAAUGAAAGUGAGGUUCUCUCUUUAUGAGAGAACUAGGUAGGAUGUCUUUCAAAUAUUUUUUGGGGGAGGACUGCACUAUCGACCAAUCUUGACUAGCUCCGGCUUGAUAGAUUUGAGUAAGAGCAUGUAUGUUGGGACCCGAAAGAUGGUGAACUAUGCCUGAAUAGGGUGAAGUCAGACGAAAGUCUGAUGGAAGCUCGCAGCGAUUCUGACGUGCAAAUCGAUCGUCGAAUUUGGGUAUAGGGGCGAAAGACUAAUCGAACCAUCUAGUAGCUGGUUCCUGC